This 2109-nucleotide long non-coding RNA is filed under the name Gossypium barbadense (sea-island cotton). Its description in RNAcentral is "long non-coding RNA (GBAR_LNC009785)". The record is from RNAcentral. Lineage: Eukaryota; Viridiplantae; Streptophyta; Magnoliopsida; Malvales; Malvaceae.
UAGCUAAAGUGUAAAACAACACAUUAGAAGAUCCCAUCUCAAAACCAUAAGGGCAAUCCAUCGGGGUUACUGUCGAAGGGCUGAGCAUCGCCCAGGAUCGCCGAAAGAAGCCGGACCACUGCAUCCACCAAGUGAGGCUGGAGCACUGUGAGUCGACCACCACCCAUGCUCUCCGAACAUUGCAUCACACGGGCCAUGACUAGCACUUCCAGACAACGCCAUGAACGGAGUCGUGUUCAGAGCCGAGGCAUCUCCGUAUUCACGAUCAAAGCGGUAAUAACACCGUUGGGCUAAGUGCCUAAACUUUCUGCAAAUCUAACAUUGAAUGCGGUUCCUAAACCCUCUGCCAUGGCCACCAGAUGACGAACGACAACCACGACCAGGAUCCAUCAUCGUCGAGGAUGGAGCAGACUCCACAUUUGAAGCGGAAGUCUUAAACUGCACGAGUUAGUCACAUCUUAUACUCCAACAGCACAUCUACUAAUCAGCGAAGAAUGAGGUGAAGGUAAGAACAAUGUCAAAUUCUAGAGGUAGGCCUGUAAGAACAACUUUGACUUUGUCUGUUUUCGAGAUCCGAGAGCCAGAGGCCUUGAUCAGGGCGCAUAUGUUCUGAAUUUUGGCAACAUAUUUGGAAAUAGAAAUAGUACCUAUCUUGAGAGAAUGGAGGUCAUGACAGAUGCGUGAUAGUUUCACACCAGUGACUACCGCAAAGAGUAGAGUGGCCAUGUUCCAAACAUCACAGGCCAUGCAAGUGUCUGUAAACAAAGGCAACAGAGGAGAGAUGGUAGAGAGGAGCCACGAUGCAAGCAAUCGGUCUUGUUGAAUAAACGUUGAGGCCUCUGAAUUUGGAACGAGAGAUCCCUCUGGCGACGUCACAAAAUGUGGUGGAGCAGGCAAUGUGCCUUCUAAAAAUCCGGUCAGUUCAUAGCCUUCAAUAAUCAGGCGAAUAUGCUACUGCUAUUGAACAAAAUUUCUAGCAGCCAACUUAACAAUGUCAUAGUAAGGGAAGGAUUAAACAAUUCGAGCUCAGGUGAAAGUUGGACAGCUGUGCUUGAUAGAGUCAGAGUUAGAGGAGGCAUUGAUAGCCAUUGAAGCAAACAAGAAUCAGGUCUCCAGAAUCACGGCUACUGAUACUAUGUAAGUAGCUCUAUAGAGUUUAACAAAAGAAGAAAUACUGAAAUACUGAAUUGUUUUAUAUUCAAAGAUUGAUUCUUAAUUGUACAAAGGUGGGGCUUAUAUACAAUAGAAGAAUGACUAAUUAUUGCUAACUAAUCUGCUAACAAUAUAACAGACUCUGUUAAUAGACUAACAACCUACACUUUAACACAGAGAGAUCAACAUGGUAAAAGAUAGGAAGAACAAUUUGACCCUGCGUGCACUUGUGGUCUAUGAUCUCAGAGAGUUCAGUCGAACAUGAUUUCGAAGAAGCAUAGUCUUUAGAUAAAACAAUGAUGAAGAGAUUCGAGGAUGCAAUUCCUUGAGACAGUGCUGGUGAAAGUGGCUCCCCUUUCUCUAGUAUAUCUUUAUCGAAGAAGACAUUCAAUCCCUGUCUUUCAAAGCUUUGAGUAGAUGAGCGGUGAAGUUAUAGCGCGUGUCUUCACCUCUGAAGCUUAAGAAAACUUGAUGGUUCAUUUGAUUAGAAGAGGAAAAAGAAUAAGCCAUGAAAGAAUAAGCCAUGAAAGAGUAGUUAAGGUGAAAAUGGCCAACCAUGCUGCUGUUAUGUUUUUUGUUAAAGUGCAUGCUGCUAUUAUGAUUUUGUUGAGUGCAAUGCAUGCUGCAGCAAUUGUGCAUGUUGCAGCAACAUAUUUUCUAUUUUAGUUGCAAUGUAAUUUAGUUUGGUUGAAAAUAAACUUAGUUGUUGAUGUUUUGAUGGGUUUAGGUGAUGAUUGAGCUGAUAAGUUAGCUUAUUCAUGUGUACAAGCAAUGAAUAGUCCCAAUGCUGAUUAGUGGGAUUAAUUAAAUUUUUAGUGAUGUAUUUUGAUUAUAAAUGCGUUGUUUUCAUAUUGAAUGAGUAAGCAUAUCAAUUGUAUAAAGCAGAUUGUUUUCUUGCUGCACAUUUGUGAGCAAGCAAAUUGUUGAAUGCCUCAUUACUGCACGCUUGUAAACAAG